CAAUAAACUAAAGGGACAAAUUUAAACAAGAAUCUCUUAGUAGAGUUUAGUGAAUCAAAUUCAGUUCCUAAGAUACCUAUUAUUACAAAUUACUUAUCAUAUUUUACAGUUAGAAUUGAAAAUCUGUUAAAGGACCAUAAAGGUGUACUAUUUUGUGUAAAGCAGCAGCAGAGGAAUUCCUAUUUCCUAAUUAACGUUUGAUGUCAUGAGCAAAGAUUCAUUAACAGGCCUCCAUUUGGUCCUACCCAUUCAUUUUUGUCAGCCCAUGCUUAAAAACCACGGACAACUUGAGGUAAUGAAUGAAAGAAAGAAAGAAA
Ipomoea nil (Japanese morning glory) is the source of this 317-nucleotide long non-coding RNA. RefSeq lists it as uncharacterized. The transcript is spliced from 2 exons. NCBI's taxonomy places the organism in Eukaryota, Viridiplantae, Streptophyta, Magnoliopsida, Solanales, Convolvulaceae. The record is from RefSeq and is a predicted model, not a curated record.